This 1371-nucleotide ribosomal RNA is filed under the name uncultured bacterium. RNAcentral describes it as "bacterial SSU rRNA". It matches the Rfam family "Bacterial small subunit ribosomal RNA", at positions 43 to 1392 of the family's 1533-position model. The record is from RNAcentral.
CGUGCCUCAGACAUGCAAGUCGAACGCGAAAGCCCCUUCGGGGGCAAGUAGAGUGGCGCACGGGUGAGUAACACGUAGGUAAUCUACCUUCGGAUGGGGAAUAACAAGCGGAAACGGUUGCUAAUAACGCAUAAUGCAGCGGCACCUAAUGGUGACAGUUGUUAAAGCGGGGGAUCGAAAGACCUCGCGUCUGAAGAGGAGCCUGCGGCGGAUUAGCUAGUUGGUAGGGUAAUGGCCUACCAAGGCAACGAUCCGUAGCCGGCCUGAGAGGGCGGUCGGCCACACUGACACUGACAUACGGGUCAGACUCCUACGGGAGGCAGCAGUCGGGAAUUUUGGGCAAUGGGCGAAAGCCUGACCCAGCAACGCCGCGUGAAGGACGAAAUCCUUCGGGAUGUAAACUUCGCAAGAACGGGAAGAAUAAGUCUGCGCGAAUAUCGCAGAUGAUGACGGUACCGUUUGUAAGCUCCGGCUAACUCCGUGCCAGCAGCCGCGGUAAUACGGGGGGAGCAAGCGUUGUUCGGAUUUACUGGGCGUAAAGGGCGCGUAGGCGGCCACUGCAAGUCAAUUGUGAAAUCUCCGGGCUUAACUCGGAAAGGUCAACUGAUACUGCAGGGCUAGAGUGCAGAAGGGGCAACUGGAAUUCUCGGUGUAGCGGUGAAAUGCGUAGAUAUCGAGAGGAACACCUGAGGCGAAGGCGGGCUACUGGGCCGAUACUGACGCUGAGGCGCGAAAGCCAGGGGAGCGAACGGGAUUAGAUACCCCGGUAGUCCUGGCCCUAAACGAUGGACACUUGGUGUGUCGGGUUUUACAGUCCCGGCGUGCCGGAGCUAACGCGUUAAGUGUCCCGCCUGGGGAGUACGGUCGCAAGGUUGAAACUCAAAGGAAUUGACGGGGGCCCGCACAAGCGGUGGAACAUGUGGUUUAAUUCGAAGCAACGCGAAGAACCUUACCAGGGCUUGACAUCUGUGGAACCUUCCGGAAACGGAGGGGUGCUCGCAAGAGAACCACAAGACAGGUGGUGCAUGGCUGUCGUCAGCUCGUGUCGUGAGAUGUUGGGUUAAGUCCCGCAACGAGCGCAACCCCCGUUGUUAGUUGCCAUCAAGUAAAGUUGGGCACUCUAGCGAGACUGCCGGUGACAAACCGGAGGAAGGUGGGGACGACGUCAAGUCAUCAUGCCCUUUAUGCCCUGGGCUACACACGUGUUACAAUGGCCGGGACAAUGUGAUGCAAUCUCGCGAGAGUGAGCGAAUCACCAAACCCGGUCUCAGUUCGGAUCGCAGGCUGCAACUCGCCUGCGUGAAGUCGGAAUCGCUAGUAAACGCCGAUCAGCACGCGGCGUUGAUACGUUCCCGGACCUUGCACUCACCG